GAAAUGCGAUAAGUAGUGUGAAUUGCAGAAUUCAGUGAAUCAUCGAAUCUUUGAACGCACAUUGCGCCCCUUGGUAUUCCAUGGAGCAUGCCUGUUCGAGCGUCAUUUGUACCCUCAAGCUCUGCUUGGUGUUGGGUGUUUGUCCCCGUCUCCGCGCGUGGACUCGCCCCAAAGUGAUUGGCAGCCGGCGUACUGGUCCCGGAGCGCAGCACAUGUCGCGCAAACGAGUGCCUUGGUACGGCGGCGUCCAUAAGCCCCUCUCUCACGCUCUUGACCUCGGAUCAGGUAGGGAUACCCGCUGAACUUAAGC
RNAcentral lists this unclassified non-coding RNA (310 nucleotides) under plant metagenome. RNAcentral describes it as "partial contains 5.8S ribosomal RNA, internal transcribed spacer 2, and large subunit ribosomal RNA". The stretch from base 1 to 105 matches the Rfam family "5.8S ribosomal RNA", at positions 50 to 154 of the family's 154-position model. The record is from RNAcentral.